RNAcentral lists this ribosomal RNA (396 nucleotides) under uncultured bacterium. RNAcentral describes it as "partial 16S ribosomal RNA". It matches the Rfam family "Bacterial small subunit ribosomal RNA", at positions 523 to 918 of the family's 1533-position model. The record is from RNAcentral.
CUACGUAGGGGGCAAGCGUUAUCCGGAUUUACUGGGUGUAAAGGGAGCGUAGACGGCGAAGCGAGUCUGAAGUGAAAGGACGGGGCCCAACCCCGGAAAUGCUUUGGAAACUGUUUGGCUGGAGUGCGGGAGGGGUAAGCGGAAUUCCUAGUGUAGCGGUGAAAUGCGUAGAUAUUAGGAGGAACACCGGUGGCGAAGGCGGCUUACUGGACCGUAACUGACGUUGAGGCUCGAAGGCGUGGGGAGCAAACAGGAUUAGAUACCCUGGUAGUCCACGCGGUAAACGAUGAUCACUAGGUGUCCGUGGGUAUGACCCAUGGGUGCCGCAGCCAACGCAAUAAGUGAUCCACCUGGGGAGUACGUUCGCAAGAAUGAAACUUAAAUGAAUUGGCGGGG